CCCUUAGAUGUUCUGGGCUACACGCGUGUUACACUGGUACGUCCAACGAGCUUUAUAUUUUCCUUGCCUGAUGAGGCUGGGUAAUCUUUUAAAUGCGUACCGUGCUGGGGAUAGAUCAUUGUAAUUUUUUGGUCUUGAACGAGGAAUUCCUAGUAAGUGCAAGUCACUAACUUGCGCUGAUUACGUCCCUGUCCUUUGUACACACCGCCCGUCGCUCCUACUGAUGAAUGGUCCGAUGAGUAUUCCGGAUGGAGACUGAUUUAGGCUUCGCCUUGCAGCUUCUCCAGAAGUUAUCCAAAUCUUAUCAUUUAGAGGAAGGAGAAGUCGUAACA
This 332-nucleotide ribosomal RNA is filed under the name uncultured eukaryote. Its description in RNAcentral is "partial 18S ribosomal RNA". It matches the Rfam family "Eukaryotic small subunit ribosomal RNA", at positions 1470 to 1796 of the family's 1831-position model. The record is from RNAcentral.